GGAGAGGUGGCAGAGCGGUUGAAUGCGGCACACUCGAAAUGUGUUUUAGGGAAACCUAACGGAGGUUCAAAUCCUCUCCUCUCCG
RNAcentral lists this transfer RNA (85 nucleotides) under Scytonema sp. UIC 10036. RNAcentral describes it as "tRNA-Ser". It matches the Rfam family "tRNA". Rfam says of the family: Transfer RNA (tRNA) molecules are approximately 80 nucleotides in length. Lineage: Bacteria; Bacillati; Cyanobacteriota; Cyanophyceae; Nostocales; Scytonemataceae. The record is from RNAcentral.